CAACGGAGGAAGGUGGGGAUGACGUCAAGUCCUCAUGGCCCUUAUGUCCAGGGCUACACACGUGCUACAAUGGAUGCUACAGAGGGAAGCAAGACCGCGAGGUGGAGCCAACCCCUAAAAGCAUUCGUAGUUGGGAUCGGAGUCUGCAACUCGACUCCGUGAACCUGGAAUCGCUAGUAAUCGUGGAUCAGCUACGCCACGGUGAAUACGUUCCCGGGCCUU
Molecule: ribosomal RNA, 222 nt
Filed under: uncultured Nitrospiraceae bacterium
Lineage: Bacteria; Pseudomonadati; Nitrospirota; Nitrospiria; Nitrospirales; Nitrospiraceae
Description: partial 16S ribosomal RNA
Rfam family: Bacterial small subunit ribosomal RNA
Source: RNAcentral